This 988-nucleotide long non-coding RNA is filed under the name Nicotiana benthamiana. Its description in RNAcentral is "long non-coding RNA (NBEN_LNC003446)". Lineage: Eukaryota; Viridiplantae; Streptophyta; Magnoliopsida; Solanales; Solanaceae. The record is from RNAcentral.
UGCAGGCCCCUUCUCUGAAGAUGCCUCUGGAGCUUGGUAAGAGGAGGCUGGUCUGUACAAGUUUAGUUGGGUGCCAGCUUCCCCUUCUCCUUUUAGCAAUUGUUCAUCUGAUUUUGUAUGUUCCCUUUCUGAUUCUUGUAGUCCUGACUAUUCUUCUAGCCAUAAAGUUGCUGCUUUACCUUCAAAUGUAAAUAGUUCCAUUUGUAAUAAAUGUUGUUGCAACUGACAUAAAUUACAUUUGGCACUUGAGGCUGGCUCAUAUUCAAUUUGCAAAUAUGAAAAACAUUUCUACCUUGUCAUUUCCUUUUGCUUCUAAACAGCCCUUCCCUUGCUCUGUUUGUCCUAUAUUUCUACAUUGUCAUUUCCUUUUGCUCCUAAACAACCCUUCCCUUGCUCUGUUUGUCCUAUGGCUAGACAAACUAGACUUCCUUUUCCUGACAGUACAAUAAGUACAUCUAGGUCUUUUUCAGUUGAUUCAUGUAGACACUUGGGGUCCUUAUCACACUCCAACUCUUUCUGGAUCUAGGUAUUUUCUUACAAUAGUUGAUGACUUUUCUAGAGCCACCUGGACACAUUUACUGGGGUCUAAAAGCAUUGGAUCUACGUAUUUUCUUACAAUAGUUUAUGACUUUUCUAGAGCCACCUGGACACAUUUACUGGGGUCUAAAAGCAAUGCUUUCUCCCUGCUUAAAUCCUUUUUAUAUAUGGUUAAAACGCAGUUUAAUGUUGUUGUCCAAACAGUUAGAAGUGACAAUGAUUUGGAAUUGGGGUCUAGCAUUGAUGAGGCAUCUUUCUUUACUCAACAAGGGAUUAUUCAUCAAAUAACUUGUCCCCAUACUCCUCAACAGAAUGGUGUUGUUGAAAGGUGAAAGUUGUAGAGCAUUACUUUUUCAAUCUGGUUUGCCCCUCUCUUUCUGGGGAGAUUGCUUGUUAACUGCCACAUAUCUACUUAAAAGAAUUCCCUCCAGGCUCCUUAAUAAUAAAUCUC